GUGCUUGCUUUGGCAGCACACGUACUAAAACUGGAACGCUACAGAGAAGAUUAGCAUGGCCCCUGUGCAAGGAUGACAUGCAAAUUCGUGAAGGGUUCCAUUAAAAA
Molecule: small nuclear RNA, 107 nt
Filed under: Sapajus apella (tufted capuchin)
Lineage: Eukaryota; Metazoa; Chordata; Mammalia; Primates; Cebidae
Also listed under: 1 other name
Source: RNAcentral